Molecule: ribosomal RNA, 397 nt
Filed under: uncultured bacterium
Lineage: Bacteria
Description: partial 16S ribosomal RNA
Rfam family: Bacterial small subunit ribosomal RNA
Source: RNAcentral
CCUACGGGAGGCAGCAGUGAGGAAUAUUGGUCAAUGGCCGGAAGGCUGAACCAGCCAAGCCGCGUGAAGGACGACGGCGCUAUGGGUUGUAAACUUCUUUUGUACAGGGAUAAACUGAGGCACGUGUGCCUGUUUGUAGGUACUUGAUGAAUAAGGAUCGGCUAACUCCGUGCCAGCAGCCGCGGUAAUACGGAGGUUGCCAGCGUUAUCCGGAUUUAUUGGGUGUAAAGGGAGCGUAGGCGGGCUGUUAAGUUUGAGGUGAAAGGCCGGGGCUUAACCCGGGGAGUGCGUUGGAAACUGGCGGUCUUGAGAGCAGAAGAGGGAGGUGGAAUGCGAAGUGUAGCGGUGAAAUGCUUAGAUAUAGCGCAGAACACCGAUUGCGAAGGUAGCAUACCGG